This 68-nucleotide transfer RNA is filed under the name Marmota monax (woodchuck). Its description in RNAcentral is "tRNA.Ala". The stretch from base 5 to 65 matches the Rfam family "tRNA", at positions 6 to 65 of the family's 71-position model. From Rfam's summary of the family: Transfer RNA (tRNA) molecules are approximately 80 nucleotides in length. Their secondary structure includes four short double-helical elements and three loops (D, anti-codon, and T loops). Lineage: Eukaryota; Metazoa; Chordata; Mammalia; Rodentia; Sciuridae. The record is from RNAcentral.
GGAUUGUGGCUCAGUGGUAGAGCUCUUGCCUAGCAUGCAUGGGGCACUGGAUUUGAUCCCCAGCACCA